CUUGAGUUUGUGUAGCUGCUGUAAAUAUGGACAAACAUGAAUAUGCAGGCAUUAGGUGGGCAUGCAAUGAGUAUGUUGAUGCCCAUAAAGAAUCUACAUUACAUUA
RNAcentral lists this small nucleolar RNA (106 nucleotides) under Theobroma cacao (cacao). The record is from RNAcentral. Lineage: Eukaryota; Viridiplantae; Streptophyta; Magnoliopsida; Malvales; Malvaceae.